UCUAGAUUAGAGUUUGAUCCUGGCUCAGAUUGAACGCUGGCGGCAGGCCUAACACAUGCAAGUCGAACGGUAACAGGAAGAAGCUUGCUUCUUUGCUGACGAGUGGCGGACGGGUGAGUAAUGUCUGGGAAACUGCCUGAUGGAGGGGGAUAACUACUGGAAACGGUAGCUAAUACCGCAUAACGUCGCAAGACCAAAGAGGGGGACCUUCGGGCCUCUUGCCAUCGGAUGUGCCCAGAUGGGAUUAGCUAGUAGGUGGGGUAACGGCUCACCUAGGCGACGAUCCCUAGCUGGUCUGAGAGGAUGACCAGCCACACUGGAACUGAGACACGGUCCAGACUCCUACGGGAGGCAGCAGUGGGGAAUAUUGCACAAUGGGCGCAAGCCUGAUGCAGCCAUGCCGCGUGUAUGAAGAAGGCCUUCGGGUUGUAAAGUACUUUCAGCGGGGAGGAAGGGAGUAAAGUUAAUACCUUUGCUCAUUGACGUUACCCGCAGAAGAAGCACCGGCUAACUCCGUGCCAGCAGCCGCGGUAAUACGGAGGGUGCAAGCGUUAAUCGGAAUUACUGGGCGUAAAGCGCACGCAGGCGGUUUGUUAAGUCAGAUGUGAAAUCCCCGGGCUCAACCUGGGAACUACAUCUGAUACUGGCAAGCUUGAGUCUCGUAGAGGGGGGUAGAAUUCCCAGGUGUAGCGGUGAAAUGCGUAGAGAUCUGGAGGAAUACCGGUGGCGAAGGCGGCCCCCUGGACGAAGACUGACGCUCAGGUGCGAAAGCGUGGGGAGCAGACAGGAUUAGAUACCCUGGUAGUCCACGCCGUAAACGAUGUCGACUUGGAGGUUGUGCCCUUGAGGCGUGGCUUCCGGAGCUAACGCGUUAAGUCGACCGCCUGGGGAGUACGGCCGCAAGGUUAAAACUCAAAUGAAUUGACGGGGGCCCGCACAAGCGGUGGAGCAUGUGGUUUAAUUCGAUGCAACGCGAAGAACCUUACCUGGUCUUGACAUCCACGGAAGUUUUCAGAGAUGAGAAUGUGCCUUCGGGAACCGUGAGACAGGUGCUGCAUGGCUGUCGUCAGCUCGUGUUGUGAAAUGUUGGGUUAAGUCCCGCAACGAGCGCAACCCUUAUCCUUUGUUGCCAGCGGUCCGGCCGGGAACUCAAAGGAGACUGCCAGUGAUAAACUGGAGGAAGGUGGGGAUGACGUCAAGUCAUCAUGGCCCUUACGACCAGGGCUACACACGUGCUACAAUGGCGCAUACAAAGAGAAGCGACCUCGCGAGAGCAAGCGGACCUCAUAAAGUGCGUCGUAGUCCGGAUUGGAGUCUGCAACUCGACUCCAUGAAGUCGGAAUCGCUAGUAAUCGUGGAUCAGAAUGCCACGGUGAAUACGUUCCCGGGCCUUGUACACACCGCCCGUCACACCAUGGGAGUGGGUUGCAAAAGAAGUAGGUAGCUUAACCUUCGGGAGGGCGCUUACCACUUUGUGAUUCAUGACUGGGGUGAAGUCGUAACAAGGUAACCGUAGGGGAACCUGCGGAUGGAUCACCUC
Molecule: ribosomal RNA, 1540 nt
Filed under: uncultured Shigella sp.
Lineage: Bacteria; Pseudomonadati; Pseudomonadota; Gammaproteobacteria; Enterobacterales; Enterobacteriaceae
Description: 16S ribosomal RNA
Rfam family: Bacterial small subunit ribosomal RNA
Source: RNAcentral